This is a non-coding RNA of Hordeum vulgare subsp. vulgare (domesticated barley), 136 nucleotides long. NCBI's taxonomy places the organism in Eukaryota, Viridiplantae, Streptophyta, Magnoliopsida, Poales, Poaceae. The record is from Rfam.
GUAGUACUCCCUCCGUCACAAAAAUCUUGUUUUAGAUUUGUCAAGAUAUAAAUGUAUCUAGUCACGUUUNNNNNNUUAGAUACAUCCAUUUCUAAACAAAGAUAAGACAAUUAUUUUAGGACGGAGGGAGUAUCUC